AUUGUGGAUAGUUUUGGCUGCACAAUCGUUUGCUUUCCCGUGAUCGGGUGUUCCCUCCCUCCGGGGCCAAGUAGCCCUCAGGAGCUUGUGAUGGUUAAUUUUAGGUGUCAACCGGACUGGGUUAAGGAAUAGCUAGAGAACUUGUAAAGCAUCACUUCUGGGUGUGUCCGUGAGGGUGUUUCCAGAGGACAGUGGCCUGGGACUUUGUGGACUGAGAGGAGGAGAUCUGCCCUCAUUAUGGGCAGGCACCAUCCAAUCAGCUGGCACCCGCAUAGAACAAAAAAGGCAGAAACAAAACAAAACAAAACAAUUUUCUCUCUCUCUCUCUCUCUCCCUCCCUCUCUUCUUCUCUCUCCUGGAGCUGGAACACACUUUUUUCUCCUGCCUUUGGACAUCGGAACUCCAGGCUCUCCAGGCUUUCCAGACUCUGGACUUAACAGCAGUCUCUGGACUUACAACAGCAGCCCCCUGGAUCCUCAAGCCUUUGGCCUCAGACUAAUAAUUAUAUCAGCAACUUCCUGGUUCUGAGGCUUUUGGGCAGCCAUGCUACUAGCAACCCAGCAGUUCCAGCAGAAGGCCUGUUGUGGGACUUCUCAGCCUCCAUGAGCAUGUAAGCUUGCUUAAAAGAACUCCAGAUGGCCCGGGAGCUGCAGGACCCUUUGCCAAUUAUCAGAGGAAGAUAAGGCCUGUGUGAAACCGGGACAAACCUGAACCAGCGACCCCGUGUUACCUUUAGAUCAUUAACAUAUCAUCAUAAUGCUAAAACCUCACCCAUAGAAGAUAAUUGCUGCCAUUUUCUGAAUAUACAUUAUAUGAAGAAGCAUGUUCAUGAUCUGCACCUGCACAUCUGGAGUUCCUCCCCAUACAUGUUUACGUACCUCCCUGCCCCACAUCUAACUCCUUAAAAUCCCCCAGCUUCUCAUAUCUCAGGGAGAAGGAGUCUUUAGAGAAAGAGCUCCCUCCUCCAUUCCUGGCCAGGAAUAAAACCUGCUUGCCUUUUUUCCCAAUUAGGUGUUACAGUAGAACUCAGUUACCCUGUAACAAUAAGAAUUGCAUUAAAUCCUUAUAUCAACUUGGGAAGAAUUGACAGCUUUACCAUAUUAAGUCUUCUAAUCCAUAAAUAAGUAUGUUCAUCCAUUUUUUUAGAUUUUUGAAAUUUCUUUCAUCAGCAUUUUGUAGUUCUUUGCCUCACUAUCUAGAUCCCAAAUAUUUUCUGUUUUUUUUUUCUGAAAGUUUUAUCUCUUACAAUUUAAACCUGAGUAGUUCUCAGCAUGCAAGCCCCAUACAUGUUUUGUUGGAUUUAAAUUUAAGUACUUUGGUUUUUGAUAAAUUGUAAGUGCUACUGUAUUUUAAGUUUCAGUGCCCAUGUGUUCCUUGCUGGUAUAAAGAAAUACAACAUAUUCCUGCAGUCUAGCUGAAGUCACUUAUCAGCUCUAGGAGUUUCUGUUUUUUGUUUUAUUUUUGGUAGAUCUUUGAGAUUUCCUACUUUGAUAAGCAUGUUAUCCACGAAUAGGGACAGUUUUAUUACUACCUUUCUGAUCUGUAUGCCUUUUAUUUCCUUUUCUUACCUUAUUGCAUUGGGUAGAACUUCUAACACUGUUUAACAAUAAUGGUAAGAGCAGUCAUCCUUGCCCUUUUCCUCUUCUCAGGGGUACAACCAUUCAGUCUUUCACUGUUAAGUAUGAUGCUGGCUGUGGAGUUGUUAUAGAUGCUCUUUAACAAGUUAGGACAAAUUCCCUCUAUUUCUCUUUUUCUGAGCAUUUUUAAAACCAUGAAUGGGUAUUUUGUGAAAUGCUUUUUCUGUAUUGAUUGGUAAGAUCAAUUUUCUUUUGUAUCCAGUUAGUAUGUUGGAUUAUGUUGACUGAUUUGUGAAUAGUAAAACUGCCCUGCAUUCCUGCAGUAAGCUUCGCUGUGUUACAAGAUCUUUGGGGUGUUGCUUUUCUGGCCAGAAACCUCUGUGGCCAGUGGUGCCUUUGCCCAAGUUUUGUUUGGGCUCACUGGGCUCAUUCCGCCCACUCGGCCUGGCAGGCUGUGCUCAGCUCAUGCUACCAGCCUGGACCCCAUGUCUGCCAAAGGCAAGUCAGGCAUGGAGUGGCAAGGGGUGUGUGAGUGAGCGUGGGGUCUGGCCACUGUGCAGUCAGACAUGUCAGCUGCUGCAGUGGGGUGGGCAGCUCCAGGUGCUGGCACAGGCACUAGUCCUCUGUGAGGCUGUGGCUGAGCCAGGCACACUGCACGCAGCUUCCACAGCUGGUACUGGGGAACAAAGUGGUGCCUGGAGGCUUGGAGAUGCCAGGAACCACAGGGCUCCCAAGAAAGAGUCAUAGCCCUGGCUUGGGGAGCUCCCAGGUCUGGGCUUCCCGAAGGGCCAUAGCUAUUCUUUCUUUCUCUUCACCCUCAAUGUAGUGAGCAAGGGGCAUGUUUCAACCCUGUUUGUGUUACAGCUCUUUUAGCCCUACCAUUCAAUGGGUCCCAAGUUCUUGUCCUAUAACCAGGAAGAAUGAGGUACCCAGACAAGUGGAGGGUGAGCAAGAUGAAAAGGAGCUUUACUGAGCGACAGAACAGUUUGGAGGAAACCCGCAGUGGGUAGCUCCUUUCCACAGCCAGGGUGUCCUGAUGAGUGUUCAGCUCCUAGCAAAGAGGAGGCCCUGGAGUGGGAAGCUCCUCUUUGCAUGCAGGUGGUCACAUUGUCUCUGCAGCUCUCAGCAGAGAGGAGGCCCUGGAGUGGGUAGCUCCUCUCUGCUGUUGGUCAUCCUAAUGUCUGCUCAGCUCUGGUUGAGCGCAGGGGUAUUAUGGGCUUCAGAGGGGGGAAAGUGUAUGCCAACUGGUCCAUGGGCAGGCCCAGAAAAGGCACCACAAGCUCCCACUCUGGUCUGUGGGGCUGGCAGCCCGACGCCAGCCUUCAGGCCCUCCCUGGCCUGAAGGUGGGGCCUCACUGGGGACCUGCCCCCUUCUGCCCAGGAGCCCAUCUGCCUCCUGCCACUGCACAUGGCACCCAGGCUGCUCACAGCAAGGGGCACCUACAGGCCAGGGCAAGCCGCCCUCAACUUCGUCAUUGUGUAUACUUUUUUUUACAUUGUUGAAUUCUACUUGCUAAUUUAAAAAAAUGUUGCAUCUAUAUUCAUGAUAUUAGUCUUUUGUUUUUUGUACUAUCUUUUUUUUUUGGUUUGAGUAUCAGAUUUAGUACUAGCUUCAUAAAAUAAAUGGGAAAGUCUACUCUCAUCUUCAAUUUUCUGGAAGAGAUUUUGUAGAAUUAGUGUUAAUUCUUUUUUAAACUUUUGGUAGAAUUGUCCAGUGAACUCUCCUGGUCUAGGAGCUGUUUUUAAAUUUUAGUUUUAAAAUUACAAAUUCAACUUUUAAAAUUCCAUUUCAUACUGGGUGAGUUGUAGUUUUUGAGGAAUUGGCCUGUUUAAUUUAAGCUGUCAAAUUUAUGUGGGUAGAGUUGUUUGUAGUAUUCCCCUACUAUCCUUCUGAUGUACACAGAGCCUGUAGUGAUAUCCCAUUUCAUCCUUGAUGUUUCAUUCCGUUUCACCCUCUUUCUUUUCUCUCCUUAUUACUGGUUGUGGGAAUGGGAAUUCCAGCUUCUCCCUAGGCCUCUACUAAGACCUCCCUGACUUGGGGGACAGUUGGGUGGGGCGGCUCAUGACUGCUCCCCAAGGGGCCUCCACUGACACAAGGGGUGGUGGCCUCAUUACCACUAGUUGGUGGUGAAAGUCCUGAUCCCCCUCUGGGUUUUCUGGUACACUGCCCCAGCAGAGCAGAGAGGGGCACCUCAUGACUGCUGGAUGGGAGUGGAAGUCCAGACUCCCCCACUGUCUUCACUGAUAUUGCAGGGAGCCCAUGGGGAGAGUUGGGGUGCCUCUUUACAGCCUGGUGUGGGUGGAAUUCUAGGAUCUCCACCUCUGCCUUUGCUUGUGUGAGUGUGGGUAGGGCCACAGUCUUUCUGUGGUGUUCGGCUGGAGUAGAGAGGUUAUUGUCUCAAGGUUUUCUGUCUCGUAAGGCUGCCCAUUUUCUGCUUUCUGUUUUGUUUUUGCUUUGUAUAGAGGGAGUAGGCUUUUGAUGGGGCUUUUCCCCCCAUCUCAAACACUAGAAUUUCCAGGUCGCGAGCUUCUUCAGUUCUAAGUCUGGGAUAUAUGAGGCAAAAUGAAAGCCAGGAGAAUGCACUAUGCGGUCCCAAGUUUCCUAGCUGGUCUGCCUUCUUUUCUCAACUUUUCAGAAUAUUUUUAUACUUGCUUUACAUACAAACUAAAUCUACUGAAAAAAUACAAUAAUCAAAAUAAAUGGAUGGGCUCAAUAGCCAAUAGAGGAGACAGAGGAAAAAAAAAUCACUGCACUGACAACUAUAACUAGAGAAAUCACCCAGACUGAAAAACAGAGAGAAAAUAAAUGGAAAAAAAUGAAUGGAGCUUCAGGGACCUGUGAGACUAUCACAGGGUCCAGUGUUUGUGUCAUCGAACUUGCAGAAGGAGAAGAGAAAGAAGACAAGGCUGAAAAGGUAUUCAAAGAAAUAAUGGCUGAAAGUUUCCCAAAUGUUCAGAGUUUUUAGUUGUCCUUACUGGGAGGAAUAGGGAGAAGCGUGUCUGCUCUAUCUUCCUGAAAGCUAAAGAACCAAGCACUGCUGGAUGGGGACCCAGGGUCUCCAAGCUGAGAAGAACACUGAUAAGGCAUGCACGGAAGCAGUCCUGGGAGGACUCUGCCACAGGCACAAACACCACUGGACACCCAAAGUCAUACUGCUGGGCGCUGGAGUCCAUUGCUUCUUCUGAGAAGAAUCGCUAACUUUUCUCGGGUCUUUGUACCUUUAGCCCCUGAUUCAAAGUCUUAGGGAGGCUCACCUAAGUGGCCAGUCGCAGGGAGUGUGCCCAGCCCUGCCUGUCAGCAGGUGUGGAAAGGAAAUGUACAGCAUUCUGCAGCAUCCCUGGUGGAAGCUGGAGCCUGUCUUCCAUUAAGCCGUACUCACUGUGGGAUUCCUCAAUUUGUCCAAUUAGGAGGUCAGUGCAUGAGGUUGCUGUACCCUCAUACCCCCGCAACACUCAGUUUUACUGAACUUCCUAAUAUUUGCCAAUAUAAUAGGUGUAAAAUUAUAUCUCAUUCUUGCAUCAAUUUGCAUUUCUGGGAUUAUUAACAUUUGUGAGCACCUCUCAUAUGAGUGUUAGCUUUUGAGAGUUCUCAUUCUGUAAAUUGCCUGUUUAUAUCCUAGAUAUAUUUAUGUUUACUGUGCUUCUGAAUGGGAGCUUAUUUUCCUGAGUCUUACAGACAUUUGAGACAGUUACAUUAUAAAAGUAUAUUGCUGAGUGAAGGGAUAAUCAUAAGACAUAGUUCUUUAAUAAUUCCAGAUUUGAAAAACAACCAUAUUAAAUGUUAUUAUUUGUGGGAGGUGAGAUUAUCUGACAUUUGUUUCUUUUUCUUCUCUUCUUUCUUCCUCUUCCUCUUCCUCUUCUUCUUCUUCUUCUUUUCUUUUUUUUUUUUUUUUUUUUGACAGAGUCUCGCUCUGUCACCAGGCUGGAGUGCAGUGUUGUUUCUUCUUUUGAAUGGAUACAUUCAACUUUACCUGAGCUCUUUGCUCCAGGAAAAUAGGAAUGGAUAAGAAAUGCUCCACUCUUGUGUGUUUCAGGAAAUGGUUAAUUGCAAAAAACACGCCUUCCCUAUAUGGCUUAGACCGCCCUUCCCUUAAUGACUCCCUUGUGUUAUAAAACCCCAAGUCUUUUUUAAACAUGUUUCUAAUUAAUGAACAUUCUCUCUAUUGCAGUAGCCUACAUACAACCAUCUCCUUAAUUGUCAGGUGCAUAUGUCCUACACACAUUUUAUUUUUUUAAAUAUAAUUUUCAUACAUAAUGAUUGCAGUUUCUAUAAACUUUUGAAAAGUACUGGUCAAGUAUUUUGUAGAAUAUCCCUCAAUUUGGGUCUGUCUGAUGUUUUCUCAUGAUUAGGCUAGAGUUAUGCAUUUUGGGAAAGAAUGUCAUGGAGGUGAUGUAUCCUUCUAAUCACUUCAUAUCAGGGAGCAUAUGAUAUCCACAUGACUUGUCACUGGUGUCAUUAACCUUAUCACUUGGUUCUGGUAGUGUCUGCCAGGUCUCUUCACUAUGAAGGUACUAUUUUCCUCUUUCCAUACUCUAUUCACCAAAUAUAAGUCACCAAGUGCAGCCCAUACUCAAGGGGAGGGAAUAAAGCUCCUCUUCCUUGUAUCAGAAUGUGUAAAGAUCUCUUAGGCUUUAAAAUCUAUAUAUUAUUCAGUUGCUUCUCCUGUUCCGCUUUUUAUUUGUUAGGGAACCAGAUCCUUUGUCCUACUUCCCCACACCUAGGCUUGCUGAUUGCAUCUCUGAGAAGUCAUGCAACAUGUUCCUUUGUUCCUGCCAUUUCAUGUACAUUGGUACCAGAGGCUUGAUUAGCUUUAUUUAUUUAUUCAUGAUGGAGUCUCGCUCUGUCGCCCAGGCUGGAGUUGCAGUGGUAUGACCUUGGCUCACUGCAACCUCUGCCUCCCAGAUUCAAGUGAUCCUCCAGCCUCAGCCUCCUGAGUAGCUGGGAUUACAGGCAUGUGCCACCACACCCGGCUAAUUUUUGUAUUUUUGGUAGAGAUGGGGUUUUGCCAUGUUGGCCAGGCUGGUCUCGAACUCCUGACCUCAGGUGAUCUGCCCACCUGUCUCCCAAAAUGCUGGGAUUACAGGUGUGAACCACCACACCUGGCCUUGAUCAGAUUUAGAUGCAAGUUUUGAACAUGAAUAUAUGGUGGUACAUUCUUUCAUCAGAAGGUAGGUAAUUAUUGUUGCUUCCCCCAUGUUUUUUGAGACAAUUGUUUCUGAGACAUCUGUAGCC
RNAcentral lists this long non-coding RNA (6810 nucleotides) under Homo sapiens (human). RNAcentral's name for it is "HSALNT0401306". The record is from RNAcentral. Lineage: Eukaryota; Metazoa; Chordata; Mammalia; Primates; Hominidae.